AGAGUUUGAUCCUGGCUCAGGAUGAACGCUAGCUACAGGCUUAACACAUGCAAGUCGAGGGGCAGCAUGGUCUUAGCUUGCUAAGGCCGAUGGCGACCGGCGCACGGGUGAGUAACACGUAUCCAACCUGCCGUCUACUCUUGGACAGCCUUCUGAAAGGAAGAUUAAUACAAGAUGGCAUCAUGAGUCCGCAUGUUCACAUGAUUAAAGGUAUUCCGGUAGACGAUGGGGAUGCGUUCCAUUAGAUAGUAGGCGGGGUAACGGCCCACCUAGUCUUCGGUGGAUAGGGGUUCUGAGAGGAAGGUCCCCCACAUUGGAACUGAGACACGGUCCAAACUCCUACGGGAGGCAGCAGUGAGGAAUAUUGGUCAAUGGGCGAGAGCCUGAACCAGCCAAGUAGCGUGAAGGAUGACUGCCCUAUGGGUUGUAAACUUCUUUUAUAAAGGAAUAAAGUCGGGUAUGGAUACCCGUUUGCAUGUACUUUAUGAAUAAGGAUCGGCUAACUCCGUGCCAGCAGCCGCGGUAAUACGGAGGAUCCGAGCGUUAUCCGGAUUUAUUGGGUUUAAAGGGAGCGUAGAUGGAUGUUUAAGUCAGUUGUGAAAGUUUGCGGCUCAACCGUAAAAUUGCAGUUGAUACUGGAUAUCUUGAGUGCGGUUGAGGCAGGCGGAAUUCGUGGUGUAGCGGUGAAAUGCUUAGAUAUCACGAAGAACUCCGAUUGCGAAGGCAGCCUGCUAAGCUGCAACUGACAUUGAGGCUCGAAAGUGUGGGUAUCAAACAGGAUUAGAUACCCUGGUAGUCCACACGGUAAACGAUGAAUACUCGCUGUUUGCGAUAUACUGCAAGCGGCCAAGCGAAAGCGUUAAGUAUUCCACCUGGGGAGUACGCCGGCAACGGUGAAACUCAAAGGAAUUGACGGGGGCCCGCACAAGCGGAGGAACAUGUGGUUUAAUUCGAUGAUACGCGAGGAACCUUACCCGGGCUUAAAUUGCAGAUGAAUUACGGUGAAAGCCGUAAGCCGCAAGGCAUCUGUGAAGGUGCUGCAUGGUUGUCGUCAGCUCGUGCCGUGAGGUGUCGGCUUAAGUGCCAUAACGAGCGCAACCCUUGUUGUCAGUUACUAACAGGUUCUGCUGAGGACUCUGACAAGACUGCCAUCGUAAGAUGUGAGGAAGGUGGGGAUGACGUCAAAUCAGCACGGCCCUUACGUCCGGGGCUACACACGUGUUACAAUGGGGGGUACAGAGGGCCGCUACCACGCGAGUGGAUGCCAAUCCCAAAAACCUCUCUCAGUUCGGACUGGAGUCUGCAACCCGACUCCACGAAGCUGGAUUCGCUAGUAAUCGCGCAUCAGCCACGGCGCGGUGAAUACGUUCCCGGGCCUUGUACACACCGCCCGUCAAGCCAUGGGAGCCGGGGGUACCUGAAGUGCGUAACCGCGAGGAGCGCCCUAGGGUAAAACUGGUGACUGGGGCUAAGUCGUAACAAGGUAGCC
This 1489-nucleotide ribosomal RNA is filed under the name uncultured bacterium. Its description in RNAcentral is "bacterial SSU rRNA". It matches the Rfam family "Bacterial small subunit ribosomal RNA". The record is from RNAcentral.